RNAcentral lists this ribosomal RNA (497 nucleotides) under uncultured bacterium. RNAcentral describes it as "partial 16S ribosomal RNA". It matches the Rfam family "Bacterial small subunit ribosomal RNA", at positions 28 to 507 of the family's 1533-position model. The record is from RNAcentral.
GAUGAACGCUGGCGGCGUGCCUAAUACAUGCAAGUCGAGCGGACAGAUGAGGAGCUUGCUCCUCUGACGUUAGCGGCGGACGGGUGAGUAACACGUGGAUAACCUACCUAUAAGACUGGGAUAACUUCGGGAAACCGGAGCUAAUACCGGAUAAUAUAUUGAACCGCAUGGUUCAAUAGUGAAAGACGGUUUUGCUUUCACUUAUAGAUGGAUCCGCGCCGCAUUAGCUAGUUGGUAAGGUAACGGCUUACCAAGGCAACGAUGCGUAGCCGACCUGAGAGGGUGAUCGGCCACACUGGAACUGAGACACGGUCCAGACUCCUACGGGAGGCAGCAGUAGGGAAUCUUCCGCAAUGGGCGAAAGCCUGACGGAGCAACGCCGCGUGAGUGAUGAAGGUCUUCGGAUCGUAAAACUCUGUUAUUAGGGAAGAACAAAUGUGUAAGUAACUAUGCACGUCUUGACGGUACCUAAUCAGAAAGCCACGGCUAACUACGUG